UGGCUCGGUUUCCUGGGGGGUGGGCCCAGCCUACUCUACCUCCCCUCAGCUGAGCCUACAGUAGAGGGGCCAGGCAUCCUCCCCCAUGGGAGAGGCAUUUGAGUAAGAAGCCUUGCCUUGGGUGUCCUAGCCUCACAUUU
Molecule: small nucleolar RNA, 140 nt
Filed under: Sapajus apella (tufted capuchin)
Lineage: Eukaryota; Metazoa; Chordata; Mammalia; Primates; Cebidae
Also listed under: 1 other name
Description: Cebus apella (Tufted capuchin) Small Cajal body specific RNA 21
Rfam family: Small Cajal body specific RNA 21
About the family: scaRNAs are a specific class of small nuclear RNAs which localise to the Cajal bodies and guide the modification of RNA polymerase II transcribed spliceosomal RNAs U1, U2, U4, U5 and U12. ACA68 (SCARNA21) is a member of the H/ACA class of snoRNAs that guide the sites of modification of uridines to pseudouridines. This snoRNA was identified by computational screening and its expression in mouse experimentally verified by Northern blot and primer extension analysis.
Source: Rfam by way of RNAcentral